RNAcentral lists this ribosomal RNA (301 nucleotides) under uncultured bacterium. Its description in RNAcentral is "partial 16S ribosomal RNA". It matches the Rfam family "Bacterial small subunit ribosomal RNA", at positions 509 to 807 of the family's 1533-position model. The record is from RNAcentral.
CAGUAGCCACGGUAAUACGAAGGGGGCUAGCGUUGUUCGGAUUUACUGGGCGUAAAGGGCGCGUAGGCGGACUGAUAAGUCAGGGGUGAAAUCCCAAGGCUCAACCUUGGAACUGCCUUUGAUACUGUUUGUCUUGAGUUCGAGAGAGGUAAGUGGAACUGCGAGUGUAGAGGUGAAAUUCGUAGAUAUUCGCAAGAACACCAGUGGCGAAGGCGGCUUACUGGCUCGAAACUGACGCUGAGGCGCGAAAGCGUGGGGAGCAAACAGGAUUAGAGACCCGUGUAGUCCCUGUCUCUUAUAC